RNAcentral lists this ribosomal RNA (363 nucleotides) under Triticum aestivum (bread wheat). Its description in RNAcentral is "partial small subunit ribosomal RNA". The record is from RNAcentral. Lineage: Eukaryota; Viridiplantae; Streptophyta; Magnoliopsida; Poales; Poaceae.
AUGCCCUCCGUGAUCAAAUCCCCCUCCGGCGGGUGUCGGAAAAGGCCCCAAGAUGGGAUCUCGCGAGAACAGAGGCUUGCGAUGGCGGAAAAGUAUUUUGGUGGACGCUUCUGGUGGUUUGGGAAUAUUUGGGAAUUUAUAGAGCAAAAUUUAGUUUUGGAGGAGUCCCGGGGGCCCACAAGCCAGGGGCGCGCCCUGAGGGCUUGUGGAGUCCUCAAGACUCUUCUGUCCCCCUCUCCAAGCUCCGUGGAUGUCUUAUGGUCCAAGAAAAAUCAUCGCGGAAGUUUUAUUCCGUUUGGACUCCGUUUGAUAUUCAUUUUCUAUAAAACUCAAAACAAGGAAAAAAACAGAAAGUGGCACUAG